UCGGGGGCGUCAGUAUUCAGCUGUCAGAGGUGAAAUUCUUGGAUUUGCUGAAGACUAACUACUGCGAAAGCAUUCGCCAAGGAUGUUUUCAUUAAUCAGGGAACGAAAGUUAGGGGAUCGAAGACGAUCAGAUACCGUCGUAGUCUUAACCAUAAACUAUGCCGACUAGGGAUCGGGCGGUGUUUCUAUGAUGACCCGCUCGGCACCUUACGAGAAAUCAAAGUUUUUGGGUUCUGGGGGGAGUAUGGUCGCAAGGCUGAAACUUAAAGAAAUUGACGGAAGGGCACCACAAGGCGUGGAGCCUGCGGCUUAAUUUGACUC
RNAcentral lists this ribosomal RNA (321 nucleotides) under Aspergillus fumigatus. RNAcentral describes it as "SSU rRNA". It matches the Rfam family "Eukaryotic small subunit ribosomal RNA", at positions 882 to 1201 of the family's 1831-position model. Lineage: Eukaryota; Fungi; Ascomycota; Eurotiomycetes; Eurotiales; Aspergillaceae. The record is from RNAcentral.